This is a long non-coding RNA of Drosophila pseudoobscura, 885 nucleotides long. RefSeq lists it as uncharacterized. The transcript is spliced from 2 exons. NCBI's taxonomy places the organism in Eukaryota, Metazoa, Arthropoda, Insecta, Diptera, Drosophilidae. The record is from RefSeq and is a predicted model, not a curated record.
UUUUCUAGUCAGAAAAAGCAGCAGCCCCCGUCCGUAGGUUGUUAAACUCAUUAGUACUCAAAGAGAGAGGAGCACAAAUCAACCGAAAAAAAACACACACAAACACUAGAAAGGUUUAAACUAGCCGAUACCCAGUAAAACGUUCUUCCCUAGAAAUUUCUUCCCCAAAAGGGAGGAAUUUAACAUCAAAGACUAAAAACAAAUAAUUUAUAAAUAUUAAAAACAUGUAAAUCCAAAGAUUUAAUCGUUUUUGCCUGCUGCUAAUCUUUUUCUGCUUGUGCAUGCCCUUUGCUGCCAUGCUUUUGCGGUUUGUGCUUUUGCAUACCGUUGUUCUUGCUGCACUCGUGUGUUGCUGAGAGAGAGAGAGUGCAUACUGAGAGAGAGGCUCGCUCAGAGAGUGGAUCGUAAGAGCGAGGCAAUGCAAGCUGCCAGCGAACGUACGCCCUGGGUGCGAGGGAGAGGAAAAAGGAAUUGCGAUACGGAGGUGCUGCCUGUCUCUCUCUCUUUCUAGUUCUGCCCAAAACUGGCAAAAGAGCGCUUAAUUAUGCGCCCCUCCAAAGACCCUCUAAAAAACAAAAAAAAACCACAAGCGUCUAAUGAGCAAACGGAAAUUGAAACUUUUUUGGCGCUGUUUAAAUAAACAUUCAACCCACAAAGUGACAUAAUUUGGCCAAAUGAGCGAAAAGAAAACCCAACCGUCGGCGAGGAAAAGAAACUCUAUACAGUUGCAGGUGCCACAGCUGCGGAGGAGAAAGAAAAGCAAAGGCAAAAGCAAACGCGGCUAAAGAAAAUAACGAACAACAAAAAAAAUUGUCGACACAGAGAUGCGUGACUAAAAUCGUUAUGACAUAAUAUACAUACGUACUAAAGCGCGUUAAAUAAAUA